GGACGGGUGAGUAACGCGUGGGUAACCUACCCAACAAACCGGGACAACCCCUGGAAACGGGGGCUAAUACCGGAUAAUCUUUCCGGAGGACAUCCUCUGGAAAGGAAAGGCGGCCUCUGAAAAUGCUGCCGAUGAUGGAUGGACCCGCGUCUGAUUAGCUAGUUGGUGGGGUAACGGCCUACCAAGGCGACGAUCAGUAGCCGGCCUGAGAGGGUGAACGGCCACACUGGGACUGAGACACGGCCCAGACUCCUACGGGAGGCAGCAGUGGGGAAUCUUCCGCAAUGGACGAAAGUCUGACGGAGCAACGCCGCGUGUAUGACGAAGGCCUUCGGGUUGUAAAGUACUGUUUUUGGGGACGAACGGCGCUUAUGUGAAUAAUGUAGGCGAUUGACGGUACCCAAGGAGGAAGCCCCGGCUAACUACGUGCCAGCAGCCGCGGUAAUACGUANGGGGCGAGCGUUGUCCGGAAUCAUUGGGCGUAAAGGGCGCGUAGGCGGACGUUUAAGUCCGGUGUGAAAGACUGGGGCUCAACCCCAGGGCUGCACCGGAAACUGGGGCGUCUUGAGGACAGGAGAGGAAAGCGGAAUUCCACCNUGUAGCGGUGAAAUGCCGUAAAUAUGUGGGANGAACACCAGUGGCGAAGGGCGGCUUUCUGGAACUGUAACU
Molecule: ribosomal RNA, 669 nt
Filed under: uncultured Bacillota bacterium
Lineage: Bacteria; Bacillati; Bacillota
Description: bacterial SSU rRNA
Rfam family: Bacterial small subunit ribosomal RNA
Source: RNAcentral